RNAcentral lists this ribosomal RNA (846 nucleotides) under uncultured archaeon. RNAcentral describes it as "bacterial SSU rRNA". It matches the Rfam family "Archaeal small subunit ribosomal RNA", at positions 27 to 850 of the family's 1478-position model. The record is from RNAcentral.
CUGCUAUCGGGAUAGGACUAAGACAUGCUAGUCGAGCGCGUCAGCCAAAACGAUGCGCGGCACACAGCUCAGUAACACGUGGCUAACCUGCCCUUGGGAUAGGAACACCCCCGGGAAACUGGGGCUAAUUCCCAAUAGGCGAAGAACUCUGGAAUGAGUCUUCACCAGAAAAGUUGCCAGGGUUAUGCUCCCUGACAACGCCCAAGGAUGGGGCCGCGACCGAUCAGGUUGUUGGUGAGGUAAUGGCUCACCAAGCCUUUUACCGGUGCGGGCCGUGGGAGCGGGAGCCCGGAGAUGGGCACUGAGACAAGGGCCCAGGCCCUACGGGGCGCAGCAGUCGCGAAAACUUUGCAAUACACGAAAGUGUGACAGGGCUAUCCCGAGUGCCAUCCGCUGAGGAAGGCUUUUACCCAGUCUAGAACGCUGGGGGAAUAAGGAGAGGGCAAGUCUGGUGUCAGCCGCCGCGGUAAUACCAGCUCUCCGAGUGGUGUGGAUGUUUAUUGGGCCUAAAGCAUCCGUAGCUGGCCAAGUUAGUCCCCUGUUAAACCCACCGAAUUAAUCGUUGGUUUGCGGGGGAUACUGCUCGGCUAGGGGACGAGAGAGGCAGACGGUAUUUUCGGGGUAGGGGUGAAAUCCUAUAAUCCCGGGAAGACCACCAGUGGCGAAGGCUGUCUGCUAGAACGCGCCCGACGGUGAGGGAUGAAAGCUGGGGGAGCGAACCGGAUUAGAUACCCGGGUAGUCCCAGCUGUAAACGAUGCAGGCUAGGUGUUUGGACGGCCACGUGCCGUUCUAGUGCCGCAGGGAAGCUGUUAAGCCUGCCGCCUGGGGAGUACGAUCGCAAGAUU